Long non-coding RNA from Branchiostoma floridae (Florida lancelet), 990 nucleotides. RefSeq lists it as uncharacterized. The record is from RefSeq and is a predicted model, not a curated record. The transcript has 3 exons. NCBI's taxonomy places the organism in Eukaryota, Metazoa, Chordata, Leptocardii, Amphioxiformes, Branchiostomatidae.
AGGUGGUCAUCCUGAUCACUGAUGGCCAGUCUAGUGACGAUGUCCGCACACCGGCACAGAGCCUCAAGAGUCAAGGUGUCACCAUUUCUGCUGUAGGAGUAGCCAAUUACAACAUGGGACAGCUUCAGGACAUUGCCGAUGGACCCGAGUAUGUGGCCACAGUGAAAGAGUUUGAUAAGAUGGACAGCAUCAGGGACAAAGUGUUGAAGGCUGUCUGUCAAGCCCAACAGAAACGUGGCCAAGAUAUCGAGGAAGAGAUCACCAAUGGCCUGCAGUACCUGAAGAACGCGUUGGGGGCGCUGGAGGAUAAGCUGGAGCAAGGAAUUUAAACCAAGCAAUGAGUACAAUUGUAACGCUAGUUCACCUUUAUCCGCGGGGUAACCUAUAACCGUUGUUUUUUUAAAACUUCAUUGAUGAUUGCAUUUGGGGGUAUCAAGUCUACGAACGGUGGUUUCAAAUUCAAUAUUUUGAUAAUCCUGAGUACACUGUUCUUAACAACAAUGGAUAUAGGUUACCCCCGGAUAAAGGUGAACUAGCGUGGAAUCGUAUCGCAAGACGGGGGAUUUUGAAGAACAACAUCAUUCAAGUUUGGAAGCAGAGGACCUAGCAUAAUGUAAGGUGGAAAACUAGAGGGGAAUAGUUAUUCAAUAAGUAAUAAGUUGAUGAAGGCAAUUGCAGUAUACACAGUAGGUAUCAACAGUUUUCAAAAGUUGUUUGGGAUUUUGCAUUUCUGGAGGAAUCAGAGCAAUUUUAGCAUCAAUAAUUUUUAGGACUUUUAAGUUAUUAGAAUAAGAAAGACUUCUUAGUUUAGUUUGUUUUUAUAGUUAAUUAGUCUUUUUUCAGUUAAUCAUAAUGGUAAAGUAUAGACAAGGUGCGUUACAUAGAAUGAAGUUAAGACACUAUUACAGGUAUUAUCAACCUCUGUAUACUUGAGCUUUAUUUCCAAGGUGGCUCUUGAGCUUUCUUUCCUAGGUGCCUGUCGGGGAUGCA